CUACGGGUGGCUGCAGGCGCGAAACCUUUACAAUGCACGAAAGUGUGAUAAGGGAACCCCAAGUGCUUAUACUUUGUAUAGGCUUUUGCCAAGUGUAAAUAGCUUGGAGAAUAAGUGGUGGGUAAGACUGGUGCCAGCAGCCGCGGUAACACCAGCGCCACGAGUGGGAAUCGGCAUUAUUGGGCCUAAAGCGUCCGUAGCUGGCUUGGCAAAUCUUUUGUGAAAUCAUGGAGCUUAACUCUAUGGCGUGCAGGAGACACUACCAAGCUCGAGACCGGGAGGAGUUAGAUGUAUUCUGGGGGGAGCGGUAAAAUGUUAUAAUCCUCAGAAGACGACCUGUGGCGAAGGCGUCUAACUAGAACGGCUCUGACAGUGAGGGACGAAAGCUAGGGGAGCGAUCCGGAUUAGAUACCCUUGUAGUC
This 422-nucleotide ribosomal RNA is filed under the name uncultured archaeon. Its description in RNAcentral is "partial 16S ribosomal RNA". It matches the Rfam family "Archaeal small subunit ribosomal RNA", at positions 323 to 746 of the family's 1478-position model. The record is from RNAcentral.